RNAcentral lists this ribosomal RNA (1194 nucleotides) under Triticum aestivum (bread wheat). RNAcentral's name for it is "partial small subunit ribosomal RNA". The record is from RNAcentral. Lineage: Eukaryota; Viridiplantae; Streptophyta; Magnoliopsida; Poales; Poaceae.
AUGGAGCUAAUGGCAACGUCGUACUUUAAGGAAGUGUUUACCAAGGACCCGACCCUGGAUCCGGAGUCAGUCCUUGAGCAUAUAGUGCCCAAAGUAUCCCAACACAUGAAUGACAUGUUAUGUGCACCCUUUUCCGAGGAGGAGGUGGCCGAUGCGUUGUUCCAAAUAGGUCCACUAAAGGCACCAGGCACAGACGGCUUCCCGGCCAGAUUCUAUCAGCGCAACUGGGGAGUCUUAAAGCAUGAAAUAACGAUGGCGGUGUUGGAGUUCUUCAAAUCAGGGGUCAUGCCAGAGGGUGUGAAUGAUACUGCCAUCGUGCUAAUCCCAAAGGUACCUUUCCCUAAAGAUCUCAAGGACUUUCGGCCAAUAAGUCUAUGCAAUGUGAUUUACAAAAUUGUGUCCAAGUGUUUGGUGAAUCGUCUUCGCCCUCUCUUGGCUGAUCUUAUAUCCGAGAACCAAAGUGCCUUCAUUCCAGGGAGGUUGAUUUCUGAUAACUCUAUCAUAGCGUUUGAGUGCAUCCAUCAUAUCCAGUCCAUUAAACACAAUAGUCCAGCUGCAUGUGCUUUCAAACUUGAUAUGUCAAAGGCUUAUGACCGUGUGGAUUGGGACUUUCUCGAGAAGGCCCUAGUGAGGUGGGGGUUUUCUGGCAUGUGGAUAGGAUGGAUAAUGGCUUGCGUUAAAUCGGUAAAAUAUUCGGUGAAGCUUAAUGGAAAAUUACUUGAGGUGUUCUCCCCAACGCGGGGCUUGCGACAAGGUGAUCCUUUGUCUCCUUUUCUUUUCCUUUUUGUCGCUGAUGCUCUGUCUGCUCUAAUCUCCAAGGCUGUUGCGGAUGGUGACUUGCGGGGUGUGAGUAUUUGUCGGGGUGCACCAAUUAUUUCACACUUGCUUUUUGCGGACGACACAAUGUUGCUCUUUGAAGCGUCUGGCCAGCAAGCUAGCUUUGUCAAGGGUUUGUUGAACACUUAUACUGCAGCUACGGGUCAACUUAUCAACCCAGAGAAGUGUUCCAUCCUGUUUUCAGACAAUUGUGAUGCAGCGGUGGCGGAUGAAAUAAAGGGCCUUUUGAAUAUAACUCAACAGGUGUUUGACCCAAAAUAUUUGGGCUUGCCGAUUCCUGAAGGAAGAAUGCAUAAAGGAAGGUUUGAAACGCUUCAGGAUCGCCUGCGGAAGUGUUUAAUUGACUGGAGCGAAUAG